GGGAAUGUAGCUUAGCGGUAGUAGAGUGCUUGCCUAGCAUGCAUGAAGCCCUGGGUUCAAUUCCUCAGUACCA
This 73-nucleotide transfer RNA is filed under the name Dipodomys ordii (Ord's kangaroo rat). It matches the Rfam family "tRNA". From Rfam's summary of the family: Transfer RNA (tRNA) molecules are approximately 80 nucleotides in length. Their secondary structure includes four short double-helical elements and three loops (D, anti-codon, and T loops). Further hydrogen bonds mediate the characteristic L-shaped molecular structure. tRNAs have two regions of fundamental functional importance: the anti-codon, which is responsible for specific mRNA codon recognition, and the 3' end, to which the tRNAs corresponding amino acid is attached (by aminoacyl-tRNA synthetases). tRNAs cope with the degeneracy of the genetic code in two manners: having more than one tRNA (with a specific anti-codon) for a particular amino acid; and 'wobble' base-pairing, i.e. permitting non-standard base-pairing at the 3rd anti-codon position. The record is from Rfam by way of RNAcentral. Lineage: Eukaryota; Metazoa; Chordata; Mammalia; Rodentia; Heteromyidae.